Molecule: transfer RNA, 67 nt
Filed under: Aplysia dactylomela (spotted sea hare)
Lineage: Eukaryota; Metazoa; Mollusca; Gastropoda; Aplysiida; Aplysiidae
Description: tRNA-Asn
Rfam family: tRNA
About the family: Transfer RNA (tRNA) molecules are approximately 80 nucleotides in length.
Source: RNAcentral
UAAGGUGUAGCCCAAAAUUAAAGGCGUUUAACUGUUAAUUAAAAGAUGCACUCUGUUGCCUCCUUAA